This 269-nucleotide ribosomal RNA is filed under the name uncultured Spirochaeta sp. RNAcentral's name for it is "partial 16S ribosomal RNA". It matches the Rfam family "Bacterial small subunit ribosomal RNA", at positions 1114 to 1382 of the family's 1533-position model. Lineage: Bacteria; Pseudomonadati; Spirochaetota; Spirochaetia; Spirochaetales; Spirochaetaceae. The record is from RNAcentral.
GUUGCCACCACGAGAGGUGGGGACGUCAGGCGGGACCGCCGGUGACAAACCGGAGGAAGGUGGGGACGACGUCAAGUCAUCAUGGCCCUUAUGUCCUGGGCUACACACGUGCUACAAUGGCCGGUACAGAGCGCAGCGAGGCCGCGAGGCGGAGCGAAUCGCUUAAAGCCGGUCCCAGUACGGAUUGGAGUCUGCAACCCGACUCCAUGAAGUUGGAAUCGCUAGUAAUCGCGCAUCAGCAUGGCGCGGUGAAUACGUUCCCGGGCCUU